This 119-nucleotide ribosomal RNA is filed under the name Shigella boydii. RNAcentral also lists the same sequence under 11 other names. Lineage: Bacteria; Pseudomonadati; Pseudomonadota; Gammaproteobacteria; Enterobacterales; Enterobacteriaceae. The record is from RNAcentral.
GCCUGGCGGCCGUAGCGCGGUGGUCCCACCUGACCCCAUGCCGAACUCAGAAGUGAAACGCCGUAGCGCCGAUGGUAGUGUGGGGUCUCCCCAUGCGAGAGUAGGGAACUGCCAGGCAU